AAGUCGUAACAAGGUCUCCGUAGGUGAACCUGCGGAGGGAUCAUUAACACGUUUCCAACGUUACCAACCAAACGCGAACUCGAGACGAACAAAAAAAGCUUGCUUUUUUUAAGUAGUUUCAGAUCGACCUGAAAAGAAAUAAUCGUUUAAUUCUGCUAGUGAUGGGCUUGCGCAAGUGAGCGGUGGAAUUAGACUUACAUAGCUCGACUAUGAAGGUUAUUUCUUUCUCAGGCUAAAACUUUCUUUUCAUCACAGGAAAUACAAACCCCUUUCACCCCCUAUGAUAAUUGACUGACUACCAUUUGAUUGGAGAAAUCCUAACAAAUGUUUAAACAAACUAAAGCACAACUCUUAGCAACGGAUAUCUAGGUUCUC
Molecule: unclassified non-coding RNA, 375 nt
Filed under: fungal sp.
Lineage: Eukaryota; Fungi
Description: partial internal transcribed spacer region
Rfam family: Eukaryotic small subunit ribosomal RNA (bases 1-46)
Source: RNAcentral